RNAcentral lists this ribosomal RNA (497 nucleotides) under uncultured bacterium. RNAcentral's name for it is "partial 16S ribosomal RNA". It matches the Rfam family "Bacterial small subunit ribosomal RNA", at positions 28 to 507 of the family's 1533-position model. The record is from RNAcentral.
GAUGAACGCUGGCGGCGUGCCUAAUACAUGCAAGUCGAGCGAACGGACGAGAAGCUUGCUUCUCUGAUGUUAGCGGCGGACGGGUGAGUAACACGUGGAUAACCUACCUAUAAGACUGGGAUAACUUCGGGAAACCGGAGCUAAUACCGGAUGAUAUUUUGAACCGCAUGGUUCAAAAGUUAAAGACGUUCUUGCUGUCACUUAUAGAUGGAUCCGCGCUGGAUUAGCUAGUUGGUAAGGUAACGGCUUACCAAGGCAACGAUGCAUAGCCGACCUGAGAGGGUGAUCGGCCACACUGGAACUGAGACACGGUCCAGACUCCUACGGGAGGCAGCAGUAGGGAAUCUUCCGCAAUGGGCGAAAGCCUGACGGAGCAACGCCGCGUGAGUGAUGAAGGUCUUCGGAUUGUAAAACUCUGUUAUUAGGGAAGAACAUAUGUGUAAGUAACUGUGAACAUCUUGACGGUACCUAAUCAGAAAGCCACGGCUAACUACGUG